GGAGAGGAGGAAAGUUACUGCGGAUUUUGUCACGCCGGAGAGGAGGAAGGUUACUGCGAAUUUUGUCACGCCGGAGAGGAAGAAAGCUACAGCGGAUUUUUAUACACCGGAGAGGAGUAAAGUUGCGGCGGAAUUGAGCACACCAGCGAGAGAUCGGACUGAGAAUGUCAAGACAAGUGAUCAGCAUAGGUGGCCAGGGAGG
This 202-nucleotide unclassified non-coding RNA is filed under the name Hevea brasiliensis (rubber tree). The record is from RNAcentral. Lineage: Eukaryota; Viridiplantae; Streptophyta; Magnoliopsida; Malpighiales; Euphorbiaceae.